RNAcentral lists this ribosomal RNA (467 nucleotides) under uncultured bacterium. RNAcentral's name for it is "partial 16S ribosomal RNA". It matches the Rfam family "Bacterial small subunit ribosomal RNA", at positions 28 to 507 of the family's 1533-position model. The record is from RNAcentral.
GACGAACGCUGGCGGCGUGCUUAACACAUGCAAGUCGAACGGAAAGGCCUCUUUCGGGGGGUACUCGAGUGGCGAACGGGUGAGUAACACGUGAGUAACCUGCCCUUGACUUUGGGAUAACUUCAGGAAACUGGGGCUAAUACCGGAUAGGAGCUCCUGCUGCAUGGUGGGGGUUGGAAAGUUUCGGCGGUUGGGGAUGGACUCGCGGCUUAUCAGCUUGUUGGUGGGGUAGUGGCUUACCAAGGCUUUGACGGGUAGCCGGCCUGAGAGGGUGACCGGCCACAUUGGGACUGAGAUACGGCCCAGGCUCCGACGGGAGGCAGCAGUGGGGAAUAUUGCACAAUGGGUGGAAGCCGGAUGCAGCAACGCCGUGGGCGGGAUGACGGCCUUCGGGUUGUAAACCGCUUUCGCUCAUGACGAAGCUUUGUGUGACGGUAGUGGGUAAAGAAGCACCGGCUAACUACGUG